UGCUCGCCGGCGUACGUCGCUGAUGCCUGCGCGAGGUACCCUAACUCGCCGCCCUAGCUUCCCACGCCUGAGCGAGUAACUGCAGGUCGCCGCCGGUGCUCGCCCAUGGCUGCGCGCGCCGCUGCAACUCACCCUCGUCACUGCAGCUCUCCGCCGGCGCUCGUCCAUGUCUGCACGCGCCGGCGCAGCUCGCGCUCGCGUGGCGGAUGCUUGCGCUCUGUGGGUGCUUGCCCUCGCCUUGCGGAUGCUUGCGCGUGCCAGCACAGCUCAUUGCGGGUGCUCGCCCAGGCCUGCGCGCGACAACACAGCUCGCCCUCCCCUGCGUACGUUGGCGCAGCUCGCUCCGCGACAUGCUGGAGAAGUGGGUGGCGCUGAACAUCAGCACCAGUGGCGUGAUGGCAGCAGCAGCUGGAGGAGGAGAUGGAUGCGUGUGAAGUUCUGAAGAUGUUGAAUGCAAGCAACCUAGAACACAACUUUUAGAUACCUUUGAAGAGCAAUAAGAUAUCGAUAUGUCAGGGAGUUCUAGCGACGCAUUAUACAAGGAGCUAUGGCAUGCUUGGGCUAGGCCGUUGAUCACAGUGCCUCGCCAAGGUGAAAGGAUUUACAACUUUCCGCAUGUUUAUAUGGAACAGGUAUGUCUCACCGCAUUGGUGUUUGCUCUUCUUGAUGCCCCAUAACUAAUGAAUGAAUUUUCUACUCAACACAUGCAGUAGCUAUUUGUGUCAUGGGACACUGCUUUGUUCUUGUGUUAAAAAUGACAAUAUGACUUUGUUUAUGUGGAAUAAUCAUCCAAGUAUUUAAAGAUCAUCCACAUCCACGUACAUAUUUAGAACCUGAUAGGAUCCUUGUGUGUGCGCGGCGUGUGCUUCUCUAGUGUGGUCAUGUAUUAGUUGACAAAUGAAUAUCCAUCAGAGGGUACCACCUUACAUACAGUGCUUCCAGCCUUGUAGGCCUCACCAGAAGUCCCUUUGUUAAGCUUCACUGCGAUGCCUAACUUACUACAUUUGACAAACAUCUUUGCUAACUGAUAAAAGCAACAGCGUAAGUAAAUAAAAUCAUUUUCACAUGUUAUGACAAACUGAUUCUUCCAGCUGACCAAAAACCAAAGAAAACAGAGUACUAAUACACAAAGAGACUGUAUAAUUGUUAAGGCUACUUUACGAACUAAUUUGGGAA
Triticum aestivum (bread wheat) is the source of this 1176-nucleotide long non-coding RNA. RefSeq lists it as uncharacterized. The transcript has 3 exons. The record is from RefSeq and is a predicted model, not a curated record. NCBI's taxonomy places the organism in Eukaryota, Viridiplantae, Streptophyta, Magnoliopsida, Poales, Poaceae.